AAGUGGGGGAAAAUGCCCAGGAGGUUUUCCCUCUUGAACAUAGAAUACAACAGUGAGAAGAGAUACGUAGAGAACCAACGUAUGUCUGGACUCAUCUUCCCUCCCCUAGUUCGCAAGACUCUGAUGGUCUACCCUCAAGCUGAGUAUGAUAAAGAAGGACAGCUUUAUCUCACCUGGAAAAUAGUGUACUGAAAUAGUCUGGAUAUGAACCGUUCUGCUUGGGAUUGCCGAACCAACACAAGAGGUGGAAAAGCACACAGCCCACUUCUCUACUCAAUGUCCGUGCAAAGCCUACAUUAAAAUGAUUUCGUGGAGGAA
Molecule: long non-coding RNA, 318 nt
Filed under: Rattus norvegicus (Norway rat)
Lineage: Eukaryota; Metazoa; Chordata; Mammalia; Rodentia; Muridae
Description: long non-coding RNA NONRATT012208
Source: RNAcentral